AUUGAACGCUGGCGGCAUGCUUUACACAUGCAAGUCGAACGGCAGCGCGGGCUUCGGCCUGGCGGCGAGUGGCGAACGGGUGAGUAAUGCAUCGGAACGUGCCCAGUAGUGGGGGAUAGCCCGGCGAAAGCCGGAUUAAUACCGCAUACGACCUGAGGGUGAAAGCGGGGGACCGAAAGGCCUCGCGCUAUUGGAGCGGCCGAUGUCGGAUUAGCUAGUUGGUGGGGUAAAGGCUUACCAAGGCGACGAUCCGUAGCUGGUCUGAGAGGACGACCAGCCACACUGGGACUGAGACACGGCCCAGACUCCUACGGGAGGCAGCAGUGGGGAAUUUGGGACAAUGGGGGCAACCCUGAUCCAGCCAUGCCGCGUGCGGGAAGAAGGCCUUCGGGUUGUAAACCGCUUUUGUUCGGGAAGAAAUCCUCUGGGCUAAUACCCCGGGGGGAGGACGGUACCGGAAGAAUAAGCACCGGCGAACUACGU
RNAcentral lists this ribosomal RNA (483 nucleotides) under uncultured bacterium. Its description in RNAcentral is "partial 16S ribosomal RNA". It matches the Rfam family "Bacterial small subunit ribosomal RNA", at positions 28 to 506 of the family's 1533-position model. The record is from RNAcentral.